UACGUAGGGUGCGGGCGUAAUCGGAAUUACUGGGCGUAAAGCGUGCGCAGGCGGUUUUGUAAGCCAGAUGUGAAAGCCCCGGGCUUAACCUGGGAAUGGCAUUUGGGACUGCAAGGCUCGAGUUUGGCAGAGGAGACUGGAAUUCCUGGUGUAGCAGUGAAAUGCGUAGAUAUCAGGAGGAAUACCGAUGGCGAAGGCAGGUCUCUGGGCUGAAACUGACGCUCAUGACACGAAAGCGUGGGGAGCAAACAGGA
RNAcentral lists this ribosomal RNA (254 nucleotides) under uncultured bacterium. Its description in RNAcentral is "partial 16S ribosomal RNA". It matches the Rfam family "Bacterial small subunit ribosomal RNA", at positions 524 to 777 of the family's 1533-position model. The record is from RNAcentral.